Molecule: long non-coding RNA, 212 nt
Filed under: Mytilus galloprovincialis (Mediterranean mussel)
Lineage: Eukaryota; Metazoa; Mollusca; Bivalvia; Mytilida; Mytilidae
Source: RNAcentral
UAAAUAAAAUUGAGAAUGGAAAUGGGGAAUGUGCCAAAGAGACAACAACCCGACCAUAGAAAAAAAAAAAAACAACAGCAGAAGGUCACCAACAGGUCUUCAAUGUAGCGAGAAAUUCCCGCACCCGGAGGCGUCCUUCAACUGGCCCCUAAACAAAUAUAUACUAGUUCAGUGAUAAUGAACGCCAUACUAAUUUCCAAAUUGUACACAAG